Trichosurus vulpecula (common brushtail) is the source of this 366-nucleotide long non-coding RNA. RefSeq lists it as uncharacterized. The record is from RefSeq and is a predicted model, not a curated record. The transcript is spliced from 3 exons. NCBI's taxonomy places the organism in Eukaryota, Metazoa, Chordata, Mammalia, Diprotodontia, Phalangeridae.
CACAGUGGCAUCUAAAUGCAGUGGGGAGGAGUCCUGCCUGGGAAGGUCCUGAAAAAUGUAGCCGUUUUUAAGCUUCUCCUUUUCUUGGAUCCUCGCCUGUCUCCUCCCACAAAGCGAAAAAAAAAAGGUCACGUAUGUUUGGAAAAAUAUGUAGUGUGCAGGGACACCAAAGUACAGACCUAUGCCCCCAAGGCAGCGUUGGGGAGAACAGAGGGGGCGGACCGCCACUCACAUCCACGCACGCAUACACACGCAGGUGAGAGUGGGAGGGGGUUGCCAAACGCAGGCUUUUCUAGGAGCUGGGGGGAGGGUGGAAUCUUUCUGCCCCCCGGGUGCCAACUUUGAUAGGAACUCUUGCACCAUCUC